GCUGGCAGCCUGGGCUCUUGGAGAUUGUAUCUGGUGCUGGAGAGGACUGGCUCCCACAGUCAGUGAGGAAGGAAUUUUACUGACCCAGCACCCAGAUGAACUUUGGUGAGGGGAGGAGGUGAGGAAGUCAAGGAGCCUUGCUUUUUCACUUGCAAUUGUGGCACUUCCUUUGGAAAUGGACGUAAGAGCCUGGUGGUUGAUGAUGGAAGAGAUGAAACUGUGAAGAGACUGAAGAAGCUAAUCCGUCAAUAGUUAAGAUUCCAUUUCUAAAAGAUCUUACUUUGAGUCUACCUAUGCCUGGGAUGUCAAGAGACGGAAUUUCGCUGUUGUUGCCCAGGCUGGAGUGCAAUGGCGUGAUUUCGGCUCACGGCUACCUCUGCCUCCCGGGUUGAAGCUAUUCUCCUGCCUCAGCCUCCCAAGUAGCUGGGAUUACAGAUCAUGAACUGGCAGCCAUGUGGAAAGAAGACUAGACUGCGAAUCACUUAGGAUCCCGCCCUCGGUUUAGUCCAGAAUACUCUGCCAAUCAGCUUUUUGGCCGCAGGUUAUAGGAUCCAAUUUUUUAGGUGGUAGCAACAUGCUCAAGGAAGAUGCAGCCCCUUCCUCCAGCCUGAGAGAAUAAAGCAUCAUUGGCUUAUGCCAACCAUGGCAAUCCCAUUCCCCUUUCUCAUGAUUGAUUUGGGAAUGGGCAAGUGACCCAGUCCUAACCAAUGAGACCAAAGAAAAAGUCUAUUGGUCAGCUUAUCUCAGAAGAUUUUUGUUUCCUGCUAUAAAGAGAAACAGUAAGUUUCUUCCUGCCUGACUUAAAUGCAAUUGUGUGCAAACAUGUUACUUGGAGCUACAGCAACGAUUCUGUGACCAUGAGGCAAUAAGCCAAGGACAAAGGAUAGAAUAGUGAAAAGACAGAGUAUUGGAUUUUUUUUUAUGAUAUCAUUGAACUGCUGGACCAGUGUGGAACCAUCUACUUUUAGUCUUUCAUGAUUUGUGAGAUGAUUAAAAAUUUCUUUUUUUUUUAGCCAUUAUUUAUUUUCUGUUACUUGCAACUGAAGACAUCCGACAUAAUACAAACACUAUCCAACUUGGGUUGUAAUUUCUCUAUUUUCACAUCUGUGUGUUCUAUCUUACUGAUUUUUGUAUUCUUGGCACUGAGUAUAAGCCUGCUCCUUAGUAAGACUUCAAUAAAUGACUGUUUAAAAAGGUCUUAGAUGAUUUAAAAAAAUUUUGAAGUUGCUGAAAUACGAAGACCAAGAACCAAUUUCAGGUUCUAUAAAUGUCUUGCUUCCUUCACUUCUGGAGUAUUCUUCAUUUCUGUCUGAUUCUACCUUUACUAAAAUGAAUGAAUGAUUGAGGAAUGUGAAAAAUGGCUGGUAUAGUGGCUACGGCUGAGAAGUAUCUCUUGGAAAUUCCCGGAAAUUCCAUCAACCACAUUCAGACCUAAUUCUCUGAUGAUCAGUGUUUCUGAACUCAAACCAGUGUACAUAAUCAGUGGACUAUUUAAAGUGGUAUUAGCCUAGAAUAUCUAGGACAUAUGUUUUAUGCAUUCAGUAAGCAUUUGUUUAAUGUGUCUUAUCUACCAGGCACAUUAUUAUGCAUUGGGCAUGUAGAGAUGACCAACCACACGGCCUCAAUCCUUGAAAAGCUUACAGUAACCAAACAGGGUUAACGGCCUAAAGAGAGGUAAUUACAAGUCUUAUGCCCAGUCCUCUUAGCAUAGUAUGGUGCUACCACUGAGUUAAUUAAGAUAACAGAAGUCCUAGAUAUAUAUCUUUGAUGAAAUCGUUUCCAUAAAAACUUUCCAAGCUUGGUCCCUCCCCAGCUGAGUUCAUUUUGGAAGGUGACUUUCUGCUCUCAUCACCUAAGGUCCUUAACGUGUAUCCUGUGUUCUCCGGAGGCACCCCUUGCCCAGAGUGUGCCCUCUGCAUGGUUCCCCCAGAACACCUAUUUCAAAGGAAAAGAAAUUUGAUCAUUCAGUGAAGAUUUGGGGGAUCAGUUUUCUACGUGGGAGGAUUAUGAGUAGUGCCUUGCUCCCCUAUGUAUUAGUAAAUAUAAAGAAAAUAUAUAUUAACCCCCUUUCUGGCUGGGCACAGUGGCUCAUGCCUGUAAUCCCAGCACUUUGGGAAUCUGAGGUGGGUGGAUCACUUGAGGUCAGCAGUUUGAGACCAGCCUGGCCAACAUGGCAACACCCCGUCUCUACUAAAAUAUAAAAAUUAGCCAGAUGUGGUUGCACACGUCUCUAGUCCCAGCUACUUGGGAGGCUGAGGCGCAAGAAUUGCUUGAGCCUAGGAGGCAGGGGUUGCAGUGAGCUGAGAUUGUGCCAUUGCACUCCAGCCUGGGUGACAGAGCAAGACUCUGUCUCAAUAAAAUAAUAAAAUAAAAUAAAAUAAUAAUAAAAUAAUUUAAACCCCAUUCUUCUUAGUUAACCAUGACUUCUGAAUGAGGUCAGAGCUCUUGUGCUCUGCAUCUCUGGUCCAUCAGCCUCAAGGCCACCUUUCAGGUCCACAUGAAAUAUAAGUGCACAAAGGUUUAGCAUUAUUAGUUUCCCCCACUGGUCUGAUUUUUGUAGAAAUUGCCAGGAACUGAUUUUCUGCCCUUCCUUCCUAACAGACAAGCCUUCCUGCCCUCCCUGACACAGCUCUUCCCUGUCUCCUACUCUCUGGUCAUCAAGCUUUUAGAGAUGCCCUGGCCUUCUGCUAGUUGCCCCAGCUGUAUUUUUUCUUCUUAGGAAUGCAUUGAUUCCAGAGCCUGACUGGGAAUAAAUCUCAGCUCCUCCAUUUAGCAGUUAUGGGAUUCAAGUUACUCUUACUCCCAGGGGCUCAGUUUGUGCACCUGUAAAAUGGAGAUUUACCACCUUUCCUUCCAGCAUUACUGAUAUUGUUUGGCUCUGUGUCCCCACCUAAAUCCCAUCUCGAAAAUUAAUCCCUAUAGUCCCCGUGUGUUGAGGGUCCUGGUGGGAGGUGAUUGGAUCCUGGGGGCGGCUUUUCCCAUGCUGUUCUCGUGAUAGUGACUAAGUUCUCGCGAGAGCUGAUGGUUUUAUAAGUGUUUGACAGUUUCUCCUUCACACGCUCUGUCUUCUGUCUCCUGCCACCCUGUAAGAUGUGCCUGCUUCUCCUCUUCUCAUGAUUGUAAGUCUCCUGAGUCCUCCUCAGCCAUGAAGAACUGUGAGUCAAUUAAACCUCUUUCUUUUAUAAAUUACCCAGUCUUGGGUAUUUCUUUGCAGCAGUGUGAAUACAGACUAAUGCAAUUACCAUAAUGAGCUUUCAAUUGAUGAACUUGCAUCACUGACUCCUCAACACACAGCUGACUUCCUACUGUAAUUGUUCCCCAUGCAGACAUUUGUUUGUGGAGCCACAAGCAUAACCAUCAUGGUAUUUAAGAUUCAUUCUGUAUCUGGAUUUAUGCACUUUAUGAAAAAUCAUCAAACUGUCCUUAUUAUUGGUGUCUUUUUUCUGUCUGUAUGUUAUGCUUCAAUAAAAUAUUUACUUAAAAUGGUUUUAGGU
Long non-coding RNA from Symphalangus syndactylus (siamang), 3494 nucleotides. RefSeq lists it as uncharacterized. The record is from RefSeq and is a predicted model, not a curated record. NCBI's taxonomy places the organism in Eukaryota, Metazoa, Chordata, Mammalia, Primates, Hylobatidae.